UACGUAGGGCGCAAGCGUUGUCCGGAAUUAUUGGGCGUAAAGAGCUCGUAGGCGGCUUGUCACGUCGAUUGUGAAAGCCCGAGGCUUAACCUGGGAAUGGCCGUUGAAACUGGCGAACUGGAGUGUGGCAGAGGGGGGUGGAAUUCCGCGUGUAGCAGUGAAAUGCGUAGAGAUGCGGAGGAACACCGAUGGCGAAGGCAGCCCCCUGGGCUAACACUGACGCUCAGGCACGAAAGCGUGGGGAGCAAACAGG
Molecule: ribosomal RNA, 253 nt
Filed under: uncultured bacterium
Lineage: Bacteria
Description: partial 16S ribosomal RNA
Rfam family: Bacterial small subunit ribosomal RNA
Source: RNAcentral